This 910-nucleotide ribosomal RNA is filed under the name Mycena galericulata. RNAcentral's name for it is "eukaryotic LSU rRNA". The stretch from base 393 to 546 matches the Rfam family "5.8S ribosomal RNA". The record is from RNAcentral. Lineage: Eukaryota; Fungi; Basidiomycota; Agaricomycetes; Agaricales; Mycenaceae.
GUCGUACCAGGUUUCCGUAGGUGACCUGCGGAAGGAUCAUUAUUGAAUACUGAAUCGGUUCUGAUGCUGGCUCUUCACCGGGCAUGUGCUCGUUCCGUUCAUAUUUACCUUCUCUUGUGCACAUUUUGUAGUCCUUUGAAAGAAGUGAACUCUGCGCUGCCGUGAUUGAUUUUGCGGUGGUUGCGGUUUGGGGGAUUGGGUGUAACAGCCCUUCCCCUGUUCUCUAUGCGCGUCGCUGUGAUUGAUUUUGCGGUGGCUGCGGUCUGGGGGACUGAGUUGUAAUAAACUCUUUCCCCUGUCUUUGCUUUUUUCAAGGCUAUGUUUUCAUAUACCCUAUCAAUGUUACAGAAUGUCUUUAAAGAUUGUGCUUGUCGCAGUCAUUAAACCUAUACAACUUUCAGCAACGGAUCUCUUGGCUCUCCCAUCGAUGAAGAACGCAGCGAAAUGCGAUAAGUAAUGUGAAUUGCAGAAUUCAGUGAAUCAUCGAAUCUUUGAACGCACCUUGCGCCCUUUGGUAUUCCGAAGGGCAUGCCUGUUUGAGUGUCAUUAAAUUAUCAACCUUGUUCGCUUUCACGAGCUUGAGCGAGGCUUGGAUGUGAGGGCUUGCUGGCUUCCUUCAGUGGAUGGUCUGCUCCCUUUAAUAGCAUUAGUGGGAUCUCUUGUGGACCGUCACUCGGUGUGAUAAUUAUCUAUGCCGCUUGACUUUGAAGCAAAAUUAUGGGAACCUGCUUAUAACCGUCUCGCAAGGGACAAUUUAAUUGACUAUUUGACCUCAAAUCAGGUAGGACUACCCGCUGAACUUAAGCAUAUCAAUAAGCGGAGGAAAAGAAACUAACAAGGAUUCCCCUAGUAACUGCGAGUGAAGCGGGAAAAGCUCAAAUUUAAAAUCUGGCGGUACCCUGAGGCCGUC